AUACGGAGGGUGCAAGCGUUGUUCAGAAUUACUGGGCGUAAAGCGCGUGCAGGCGGUAAGGUAAGUCAGAUGUGAAAGCCCCGGGCUCAACCCGGGAAGUGCAUUUGAUACUGCCUUUCUUGAGUAUGGGAGAGGAGAGUGGAAUUCCCAGUGUAGAGGUGAAAUUCGUAGAUAUUGGGAGGAACACCCGUGGCGAAGGCGACUCUCUGGACCAAUACUGACGCUGAGACGCGAAAGCGUGGGGAGCGAACAGGAUUAGAAACCCCGGUAGUCC
RNAcentral lists this ribosomal RNA (274 nucleotides) under uncultured bacterium. Its description in RNAcentral is "partial 16S ribosomal RNA". It matches the Rfam family "Bacterial small subunit ribosomal RNA", at positions 523 to 796 of the family's 1533-position model. The record is from RNAcentral.